This 253-nucleotide ribosomal RNA is filed under the name uncultured bacterium. Its description in RNAcentral is "partial 16S ribosomal RNA". It matches the Rfam family "Bacterial small subunit ribosomal RNA", at positions 524 to 776 of the family's 1533-position model. The record is from RNAcentral.
UACAGAGGGGGCAAGCGUUGUUCGGAAUUACUGGGCGUAAAGGGCGCGUAGGCGGCCUGCUAAGUCGAACGUGAAAUCCCUGGGCUCAACCCAGGAACUGCGUCCGAUACUGGUUGGCUUGAAUCCGGGAGAGGGAUGUGGAAUUCCAGGUGUAGCGGUGAAAUGCGUAGAUAUCUGGAGGAACACCGAUGGCGAAGGCAGGUCACUGGGCCGCAACUGACGCUGAGGAGCGAAAGCAUGGGGAGCGAACCGG